RNAcentral lists this non-coding RNA (25 nucleotides) under Gallus gallus (chicken). Lineage: Eukaryota; Metazoa; Chordata; Aves; Galliformes; Phasianidae. RNAcentral also lists the same sequence under 3 other names. The record is from RNAcentral.
UACCCUGUAGAACCGAAUUUGUGUU